GAUGAACGCUGGCGGCGUGCCUAAUACAUGCAAGUCGAGCGAACGGACGAGAAUCUUGCUUCUCUGAUGUUACCGGCGGAUGGGUGAGUAAUACGUGGAUACCCUAUCUUUAAGAAUGGCUUACCUUAGGGAGACCUGAUACAACAUACGAUGUUAUUUUGAACUGCAUGGUUCUUCAGUGCUAGCCCUUUUUGCUGUCCCUUAUUCAUGGUUCCGCGUUGCAUUAGCUAGUUGGUAGGGUAACGGCUUACCAAGGCUACGAUGCGUAGCCGACCUGAGAGGAUGAUCAGCCACACUGGAACUGAGACACGGUCCAGACUCCUACGGGAGGCAGCAGUAGGGAAUCUUGCACAAUGGGCGAAAGCCUGACGGAGCAACGCCGCGUGUGUGAUGAAGGUCUUCGGAUCGUAAAACUCUGUUAUUAGGGAAGAACAGAAGUGUAAGUAACUGUGCACAUCUUGACGGUACCUACUGAAUAAGCCACGGCUAACUACGUG
This 497-nucleotide ribosomal RNA is filed under the name uncultured bacterium. RNAcentral's name for it is "partial 16S ribosomal RNA". It matches the Rfam family "Bacterial small subunit ribosomal RNA", at positions 28 to 507 of the family's 1533-position model. The record is from RNAcentral.